RNAcentral lists this ribosomal RNA (329 nucleotides) under uncultured eukaryote. Its description in RNAcentral is "partial 18S ribosomal RNA". It matches the Rfam family "Eukaryotic small subunit ribosomal RNA", at positions 1470 to 1796 of the family's 1831-position model. The record is from RNAcentral.
CCCUUAGAUGUUCUGGGCCGCACGCGCGCUACACUGAUGCAUUCAACGAGUCUAAAACCUGCUCUGAUAGGGGUGGGUAAUCUUUUGAAUGUGCAUCGUGAUUGGGAUAGAUGAUUGCAAUUUUUCAUCUUCAACGAGGAAUGCCUAGUAAACGCAAGUCAUCAGCUUGCAUUGAUUACGUCCCUGCCCUUUGUACACACCGCCCGUCGCUCCUACCGAUUGAAUGAUCCGAUGAAUAUCAUGGAUUGAGGAUGCAAGUAGGUUCGCCUAUCUUCAUCUUCGAGAAGUGAAGUAAAUCUUAUCAUUUAGAGGAAGGAGAAGUCGCAACA